UGCGCAUGCGCAAGCGCUUUAGCCUCUUCUAGGCGUGAUUGCAAAGCGCUGGAGGCGUAGCGCCCGCGCGCUUUGUGCUGAAGGGGAACGGCGAUAGCUGAGAGCUGCUGCUUUUCCAGUAUCCCGCGGUUCGUUUUCUGUCACAUAUGCCUACGCAGGUGCGCGUGAGAAAAGAGCCCGGUCCUCCUCUCGGAAGACGCUGAGAGGCUGAGCAGGCUCGUGCACGCGUGAUUUUCUUAAGCGAAAUGACCAAAUGCCUCUCUCCUUUUAGCGGGCGCGUUUGUGUGAUCUAUGGCUCUGUCAGUUUGAAACAGUUAAAAGAGAAGCCAAAGCCUGGGCUUUUAAGAUGCCGGCCUAGCAACCCCAUUCAUCAUUGCGUCGCGGCGUUUUUUAACGUCCCCGCGCUCGGCUGGGGUUAACGUCUUAACAACUCCUUUGACGCAAGGCAGAGUCUGGAUCCAGCCCAAGGGGUGGGUGCUCAACAGAAGAGACCCUGUGGGAAAUUAGAAUCGGGAAGCCCGCGUGAGAAAGAGGGGGGUUCCCCCCCCCCAGAAAAACAGCAUAAGAAAAUAUAUACUCUCUACGUAGGUUAGGAGGGAGAAAAGUCAAUUUUGUAUACUCUGCCAGCUCCAGUGAUGAAGAACUAGGAUAGAUAUCAACUAAUUGCAAGGCUGUACUUCCAUCCGUUACAAAGGAACAGACUCAGGCUCACAUAACAAUUUUUGAUGGAUAAACUUCUAGUCUGAAGAAGAGUCUACAUGUUAUGUUUAAAAAAGCACAAAGAAAGAAAAGG
This is a long non-coding RNA of Podarcis raffonei (Aeolian wall lizard), 793 nucleotides long. RefSeq lists it as uncharacterized. The transcript has 3 exons. The record is from RefSeq and is a predicted model, not a curated record. Lineage: Eukaryota; Metazoa; Chordata; Lepidosauria; Squamata; Lacertidae.